This 715-nucleotide long non-coding RNA is filed under the name Olea europaea subsp. europaea. The record is from RNAcentral. Lineage: Eukaryota; Viridiplantae; Streptophyta; Magnoliopsida; Lamiales; Oleaceae.
CUGAGCAUUCCAUAACUUCAACACUCAAGCUGUAUCAAUGUACAAUAAAACCCAUUCUACAAAAGAAUUCGCUAACACCACAUAAAUGAAGCAUUCCACAACUUCAACAAACUCAACUCGAGCAGUAUAAAUAUACACAUAAAAUCCAUUCCACACAAGAAUUCGUAUGAGGUCCUAACACCACACAAAUGAAGCAUUCCGCAACUUUAGCAAGCUAACCUCAAGCAAUAUAAAUGUACACACAAAAUCCAUUCCACAACUUCAACAAGCUAAACUCAAGCAGUAUAAUUUGUCCAGACCCACUUUGUUCGAAAUGGAGUUUACCAUACACUCACUGAGUCACUGAUUUUUCAAAAUAGCAAGUAAAGCCCAAACUUUUUAGAGAUAAUACUAGUUGCAGUGUGUCACCAGUGAUGGGUGUGGGUGAUUUUACAAUUGGCGACGAGGCACGGGAAGGAAUUAGCGCUCUCAAUGUCUCUCACACGCGAAACAGAAAGUGAAUAGCUACUAACCUGGAGAGAGCUAUAUCUUAUGUGAUUGUCUUUUCUUCGCCAGAGGUAGUUGUGCCGACGAGAUUUAUUUAGUUGGACCUUAGAGGUGCGGAUCGUGAGAGAGGAGUGCAAGAUGAAGGGAAGAUGGUUUGAUUUGGGGCAAAGUGCUUUUGGCCAAUUUUGGAGGGUUUAUUCAAAUUAAUUUGUGAGCUGGCGAGAUUUUC